Peromyscus leucopus (white-footed mouse) is the source of this 418-nucleotide long non-coding RNA. RefSeq lists it as uncharacterized. The transcript has 6 exons. The record is from RefSeq and is a predicted model, not a curated record. NCBI's taxonomy places the organism in Eukaryota, Metazoa, Chordata, Mammalia, Rodentia, Cricetidae.
GUCCUCACCAAUCAGAUUAAAAGGGAAGGCCAGUUCAGGAUACCUCUACACGUAUUCAACCAAGAUAUAUUCUUCAGUUAUCAUUAGGAUUAACUCCAACCCCACAAAUAUUCUAAAUGGAGGGAAAGAAGCAGAUUUACAGUUGAAGAUGGAAAUCUGAAAAAUCUUGACGGCAAUGAAAUUACUCAAUCAUCUGAUUUCAAAAGAAAUAUCCCAAAUGGAAGGCUCCCACUGACCUGAGAGAUUCUAAGACAGUAGAAAUAUCAUCAGUGACUUAUGGACAAGAAUUCUCAGCAGAAUUCUGUUACAGGACUUCAACCAAGGCCUAGUCCUUAUUUGUCAUUAGGACUAACUCAAAGGCCCACGAAUCUUCUAAAUGAAUGAAGGAAAGGUAAGAGUUAUGUAUCAUCACUAAGCA